This 253-nucleotide ribosomal RNA is filed under the name uncultured bacterium. RNAcentral's name for it is "partial 16S ribosomal RNA". It matches the Rfam family "Bacterial small subunit ribosomal RNA", at positions 524 to 776 of the family's 1533-position model. The record is from RNAcentral.
UACGAAGGGGGCUAGCGUUGCUCGGAAUCACUGGGCGUAAAGGGUGCGUAGGCGGGUCUUUAAGUCAGGGGUGAAAUCCUGGAGCUCAACUCCAGAACUGCCUUUGAUACUGAGGAUCUUGAGUACGGGAGAGGUGAGUGGAACUGCGAGUGUAGAGGUGAAAUUCGCAGAUAUUCGCAAGAACACCAGUGGCGAAGGCGGCUCACUGGCCCGUAACUGACGCUGAGGCACGAAAGCGUGGGGAGCAAACAGG